RNAcentral lists this unclassified non-coding RNA (523 nucleotides) under Hevea brasiliensis (rubber tree). Lineage: Eukaryota; Viridiplantae; Streptophyta; Magnoliopsida; Malpighiales; Euphorbiaceae. The record is from RNAcentral.
AAAAAAAAGUGAAAGAAAAAGAAAAAAUAAACAUAGUAUACAUAACAUUUAUGUGAAAAAUAGCAGAUGUGUCACAAAAGAUUGCGCUGGGGGUAGUUUGGCAUUUAAUCAACUAGUGCAUAUAUAUAUAUAUGUAUAUAUACACGCACAACACACAUAAAUUAUGUGGGUGUACACAAACUUACUGAUAAUGCUACGUAGAUGGUAGGCCAAUGAACUGGGAAAAAGGAUUAAACUACUUUGUGCAUUGGGCAAUAGCAUAAUUGUUCUUUAUCCUUGCUCGUAGUUGACAUUCUCUAUGUUUUUGAUGGUUAUUAGGCCUGUUAGAACAUGAAAUAAUUAACAUACAAUCACUUAUUACCUAAAUACUUUAUUGUCAUGCUGCUGUCUAGCACGAUAACAUGAUAAGACAUGUUGCUAUGGUCCUUUUGAUAAUAUUAAUAGGGUUAAGGGAAAAAUGAAUUUCACUUUUAAAUAAUUUCUGUUCCGUUUGGUUUCAGGUGUUCGAAUCUUCGAGGAUGUG